RNAcentral lists this ribosomal RNA (269 nucleotides) under uncultured prokaryote. Its description in RNAcentral is "partial 16S ribosomal RNA". It matches the Rfam family "Bacterial small subunit ribosomal RNA", at positions 524 to 792 of the family's 1533-position model. The record is from RNAcentral.
UACGUAGGGGGCUAGCGUUACUCGGAUUUACUGGGCGUAAAGCGAAUGUAGGCGGUUGAAUAAGUCAGUGGUGAAAUCCCUCAGCUUAACUGAGGAAUUGCCAUUGAUACUGUUUGACUUGAGGACAGGAGAGGAAAGUGGAAUUCCCGGUGUAGCGGUGGAAUGCGUAGAUAUCGGGAGGAACACCAGAGGCGAAGGCGGCUUUCUGGACUGAUCCUGACGCUGAGAUUCGAAAGCUAGGGGAGCAAACAGGAUUAGAUACCCGCGUA